UGCAGCCAACAAAUGAAACAUGAACGAAAUGACCGCUAACGCGUACGACCAAGACAAGUGGUUAAAAUUCGGGUACAUUAACCAAUCCCUGCGCCAGCAUUGUCCUCCGAAUAUUGAUACCGCUAAGAACAAUAGAGUGCCUGUAAACACAAGAAGGCAGCAGAGGAGAGAAGCCAUUCGUUAUUCAGUACAAAUUUCAACGGCCAACGCACUAACGUUAACGCAAUCAUAGCCUGUGCCGCGAACGAAAGUAACAGGGCAAUAGUAACGAGCGUUUGCACUACCAAUAGCCACCCUGGUAGUAGCCACUCACGAAUUACAUAAUAUUCCUGUGAGAAUAUGUGGUGGCAUCCGUCAAACUGUUUGUCAAAUUGAUAGUAUGGAUAUCGAAAUUCUUUGAAACAAUAUUCCCACAAUCCCAUAUGCUUGAAACUACUAAAUGUUUCUUGAUAGGAUUCGAUCCAAUAAGGACUGGAAGCAAGUUGGUUAAGUAGACGCUAAUUACGCAAGAUACUUGAUACAUAAAUCAUGUCUAUUUAAAAAAACGAUUACCUUGUAAAUGCCAUUACCAACAAUAGACCAGCGAUAUACGUGACUAGUCCACCAAAUACUACCGCAUCUGAAAUAACAUAAUCAACAGUUGAUAGAGGUUAGGGAUGUUUCUUUUUUAAGCAAAAUGACUAUGAAUUUAUUUAAUAUUGCUUACUCGAUGCGCGGUGAUAUUCCUGUUUGUCGACAGACAUUGUCGAUUCUUCGAGUUCGAUGACAGAAAAUAUAAGAACUACUAAAACUGUUUGUUUAUAAUUGCGAAAACACUAAGGCCCUUCUAAACUUGCCACACCUCUCGGCAUUGCCAUUGUUACCAACUGUAAAAGUUAAUUGACGUCGGUAAAGCGGCUGCCUGUACGUUUCUAUGUACGGUACCAGUACAAUCUCAUAAUAUAGCGGCUUUGGAAUAGUUUUCCUUCGAAUUCAAAAUCGGAUCGGAAUACACGGUCGAGGACAGUAAAAUGUAAAACAGAAGUAUGUCUGUACAUGUAAUUAUCAAGUAAUUUAUUGAAGUAAAAAUAUGAUACAAAAAAAUUUUGAAUUGCUCCAUUUCGAUUACAUGGAAAUAACAACGUUAUUAUAAUUCUGUACCUAAGGACGGAUCUCGUUGCAAAUUUAUUACAUAUAAAUUCACCGAUGGCAGUGAACGUUUACUUUAUAAAAUACUGCAGAAUUCAACAACUUAUGCUAUCUAUAAAAAAUGAGAAAAAAAUAGAAUACUUUCUAUCAAUUAUAAUCGAGACUAUUCUCAUUCUUUUAAAGCAUUUGGUGUACAAAGAAAAGCACUCUUCACUUUUUUUCACUGCACUAUUAACUUUUGGAAAUGUUAAUGUACAACAAGAAAAAAACAUUAACAAAACGAGUAUACUUCUUUGUAAAAUACGCUUCUACAUAUCCUGUAUGUAUAAAACAUCAUACAAAAAUACAAAUCUUAUGUCAUAUCAUA
Megalopta genalis is the source of this 1495-nucleotide long non-coding RNA. RefSeq lists it as uncharacterized. The record is from RefSeq and is a predicted model, not a curated record. Lineage: Eukaryota; Metazoa; Arthropoda; Insecta; Hymenoptera; Halictidae.